This 1065-nucleotide ribosomal RNA is filed under the name Bacteroidetes bacterium oral taxon 280. RNAcentral describes it as "bacterial SSU rRNA". It matches the Rfam family "Bacterial small subunit ribosomal RNA", at positions 28 to 1085 of the family's 1533-position model. The record is from RNAcentral. Lineage: Bacteria; Pseudomonadati; Bacteroidota.
GAUGAACGCUAGCGGCAGGCUUAACACAUGCAAGUCGAGGGGCAUCGAGAUGUAGCAAUACAUUGUCGGCGACCGGCGGACGGGUGCGUAACGCGUGAGCAACCUUCCCGUAUCAGGGGGAUAACCGAUGGAAACGUCGCCUAAUACCCCAUAACAACACAUGUCUCCUGACGUGUGUUUGAAAGGUUCGUCAGAUACGGCUGGGCUCGCGUGACAUUAGCUGGUUGGUGAGGUAACGGCUCACCAAGGCUACGAUGUCUAGGGGUUCUGAGAGGAAGAUCCCCCACACUGGAACUGAGACACGGUCCAGACUCCUACGGGAGGCAGCAGUGAGGAAUAUUGGUCAAUGGGCGCAAGCCUGAACCAGCCAUGCCGCGUGAAGGAAUAAGGUCCUAUGGAUCGUAAACUUCUUUUGAGCGGGAGCAAUAAGGUCUACGUGUAGACCGAUGAGAGUACCGUUCGAAUAAGCAUCGGCUAACUCCGUGCCGGCAGCCGCGGUAAUACGGAGGAUGCAAGCGUUAUCCGGAUUUAUUGGGUUUAAAGGGUGCGUAGGCCGUUGUGCAAGUCAGAGGUGAAAUUGUGGGGCUCAACUCCGCCGCUGCCUUUGAAACUGCAUGACUUGAAUCCUGUUGCCGUGGGAGGAAUGAGUAGUGUAGCGGUGAAAUGCAUAGAUAUUACUCAGAACCCCAAUUGCGAAGGCAUCUCACGAAGCAGGUAUUGACGCUGAGGCACGAAAGCGUGGGUAUCAAACAGGAUUAGAUACCCUGGUAGUCCACGCUGUAAACGAUGAUAACUAACCGCCGGCGAUAUAGUGUCGGUGGCCAAGCGAAAGCGAUAAGUUAUCCACCUGGGGAGUACGACCGCAAGGUUGAAACUCAAAGGAAUUGACGGGGGCCCGCACAAGCGGAGGAACAUGUGGUUUAAUUCGAUGAUACGCGAGGGAACCCUACCCGGGGCUCGAAACGGCAGAGGGAAGAGACUCAGAGAAUGAAGACGUUCCCUUCGGGGACCUCUGUCGAGGUGCUGCAUGGUGUCGUCAGCUGUGUCGUGAGAUGUGGCUCAGGG